UGGUGGAUUGAUCUGUCUGCUUAAUUGCGAUAACGAACGAGACCUCUACCUCUUAAUAGUUGCGGCUGCGUUGUACCCAUGCCGCUGGCGGCUUCGGUUGCCUUUGGUGCGGGGAGCACGCCGUGGACUUCUUAGGGGGACUGUGUACGCUUUAGUGCACGGAAGAUGGAGGCAAUAGCA
Molecule: ribosomal RNA, 180 nt
Filed under: uncultured eukaryote
Lineage: Eukaryota
Description: partial 18S ribosomal RNA
Rfam family: Eukaryotic small subunit ribosomal RNA
Source: RNAcentral